RNAcentral lists this ribosomal RNA (794 nucleotides) under Janibacter sp. Its description in RNAcentral is "bacterial SSU rRNA". It matches the Rfam family "Bacterial small subunit ribosomal RNA", at positions 1 to 806 of the family's 1533-position model. The record is from RNAcentral. Lineage: Bacteria; Bacillati; Actinomycetota; Actinomycetes; Micrococcales; Intrasporangiaceae.
UCAACGGAGAGUUUGAUCCUGGCUCAGGACGAACGCUGGCGGCGUGCUUAACACAUGCAAGUCGAACGGUGAAGCUCCAGCUUGCUGGAGUGGAUCAGUGGCGAACGGGUGAGUAACACGUGAGCAACCUGCCCCAGACUCUGGAAUAAGCGCUGGAAACGGCGUCUAAUACUGGAUACGAGACCAACCUGCAUGGGUAUGGUUUGGAAAGUUUUUCGGUUUGGGAUGGGCUCGCGGCCUAUCAGCUUGUUGGUGAGGUAAUGGCUCACCAAGGCGACGACGGGUAGCCGGCCUGAGAGGGCGACCGGCCACACUGGGACUGAGACACGGCCCAGACUCCUACGGGAGGCAGCAGUGGGGAAUAUUGCACAAUGGGCGAAAGCCUGAUGCAGCGACGCCGCGUGAGGGAUGACGGCCUUCGGGUUGUAAACCUCUUUCAGCAGGGAAGAAGCGAAAGUGACGGUACCUGCAGAAGAAGCACCGGCUAACUACGUGCCAGCAGCCGCGGUAAUACGUAGGGUGCGAGCGUUGUCCGGAAUUAUUGGGCGUAAAGAGCUUGUAGGCGGUUUGUCGCGUCUGCUGUGAAAAUCCGGGGCUCAACCCCGGACUUGCAGUGGGUACGGGCAGACUAGAGUAUGGUAGGGGAGACUGGAAUUCCUGGUGUAGCGGUGAAAUGCGCAGAUAUCAGGAGGAACACCGAUGGCGAAGGCAGGUCUCUGGGCCAUUACUGACGCUGAGAAGCGAAAGCAUGGGGAGCGAACAGGAUUAGAUACCCUGGUAGUCCAUGCCGUAAA